Molecule: transfer RNA, 68 nt
Filed under: Lygosoma quadrupes
Lineage: Eukaryota; Metazoa; Chordata; Lepidosauria; Squamata; Scincidae
Description: tRNA-Trp
Source: RNAcentral
GAAACUUAGGUUAAUUAAACCAAGGGCCUUCAAAGCCCUAAACAAGAACUAAACCAUCUUAGUUUCUG